GGGCCCAUAGCUCAGCCUGGCAGAGCGGUCGGCUCUUAACCGACAGGCCACGGGUUCAAAAGGUGGCAAACUCCACCUGGACGUUAGGUCGGCGUGAAGCCGACCAGUGCGCUUCGCGCAUAACGUUAUGAGUUUACACCGUGAAAUUCCCGCUGGGCCCG
This 161-nucleotide transfer RNA is filed under the name Candidatus Woesearchaeota archaeon. RNAcentral's name for it is "tRNA-Lys". Lineage: Archaea; Nanobdellati; Candidatus Woesearchaeota. The record is from RNAcentral.